UUAAGAUAAGGAAUUUCUUUUUCACAAAAAACCUGCUGAAUGAAUACUUAUAAGUACUCUUAUAGUCAGCAUUCUAGGGCAAGAAUGCCACAAAGGCCAUUAUUACCUGAAAACUCUUCAAACAGGAAGUGUCUUUGUUUGUGUCACUAAGCCUAGAUUUAGACUUAAUUGCCAGCACACCCAUCUAGUGAGACUUGAAGAUGGAAACUAACUAACUUAUGCCAUAUAACUACCAGCUUUGGGUAUAUUUUUGAGUUGGUCACAGUCACUGCUUUUACCCUUUUUAUUUCUUUGUAACAUAACUAAUAUUUUUAUACUGCUGCUGUUUGUUCCUUUCUGGCCCUGACCGGUUUGUUCUGGUGCUGUUAUCUCCACUAAUAAUAAUAAUCGCGUCAGCUGACAGCCCAUGUGUAAGCAGCAUUCUUUCAUCCUCACAUGACAGCCAUGUCACUCAGUUUUCUGUUGUUGUUUUUUUUUUUUCCUCCUCCCUUUCCUUUGUAUUUAUCUUAUUUUGUUUCAAGCAUUUUAAUUUAUUUACCUAAAUGUGUCAUCUCUGCCUUCUCUAGCUGCCUCCUUUUAAUCUAUAUCACUGUGAUGGCCUCAUUAGCGUCCUCUGCUUUUUCUAAAAUAAUCUGGUUGUUUUUGUCCUCUACAUUAUCCGUGUAACAGUUUUAUAUAUAUUUAUAAGUCACUCUCUAUCUUUACAACUGUUAGCUGCAGUCAGAUGAUAUAUAUAUACGUGCACUUACUGGCAUUUAAAGAUUGUUUUAAUAUAAAAUCUCACUGGAUCAUCUAUUGCUGUUAUCACGUUCACCUGUUCUCACUUGCUCUUGCAUAUGAGAAAAUGACUUUUCUCUACCAUUGCUUCACACAUCUGUCUUAACCUGCCUAAUCUUUCUCUGUACCUCAGCUGUCUUUCUUUUGGUCCUUGUUGUCCUCCAUAAUAUACCCUGCCUCCCUUCCUCCUGUCUUUCAUGUCUUUUGACUUCUCAUUAUACACUUCCCUGUUCUUUCUCCUCUCAUUUUAC
Molecule: long non-coding RNA, 1028 nt
Organism: Astatotilapia calliptera (eastern happy)
Lineage: Eukaryota; Metazoa; Chordata; Actinopteri; Cichliformes; Cichlidae
Source: Ensembl